AAAGUCGUGAGGCGGAGNAAAACACAAAACACAGUCUCAGUUCAGAUUGUAGGCUGAAACUCGCCCAUAUGAAGUCGGAAUUGCUAGUAAUCGCGGAUCAGCAUGCCGCGGUGAAUACGUUCCCGGGCCUUGUACACACCGCCCGUCACGCCAUGAGAGUCGAUAACACCCGAAGCCUGUAGUCUAACAGCAAUGAGGACGCAGUCGAAGGUGGGAUUGAUAAUUAGGGUGAAGUCGUAACAAGGUAAC
Molecule: ribosomal RNA, 249 nt
Filed under: uncultured bacterium
Lineage: Bacteria
Description: partial 16S ribosomal RNA
Rfam family: Bacterial small subunit ribosomal RNA
Source: RNAcentral